Scomber japonicus (chub mackerel) is the source of this 658-nucleotide non-coding RNA. The record is from the annotation of a RefSeq genome assembly. NCBI's taxonomy places the organism in Eukaryota, Metazoa, Chordata, Actinopteri, Scombriformes, Scombridae.
AUGAGGAUGGUGAUGAGAGUCAUGCUGCUUGUGGUUUCUGCUGUGUUGACUGACAGAUCUGAGUCCUGCAUGCAGGAGGUUUUUGUACGGCCACUUAAUGAGUUUGUAUCACUGUGGUACACUUUUGGUGGAGGAACCAAACUCACCGUUGACUUGGGUGUGGUGCGGCCCACCCUGACCGUCCUCCCCCCCUCCAAAGAGGAGGUGCAGCAGGGCAGUGCCACACUGCUGUGUCUGGCCAGCGGGGGCUCUCCCUCAACCUGGAGGCUGGACUGGAAGGUGGGGGGCAGCAGCAGCAGCUCCUCAGAGGUGUCACACAGCCCGGAGGUCUUGGGGAGGGACGGCCACUACAGCUGGAGCAGCACCCUGAGCCUCUCUGCAGACCGCUGGAGGAAGGCGGGCUCAGUGAGCUGUGAGGCCAGUCUGAAUGGACAGACCCCUGUCACUCAAAGCCUGGACCCUGACCGCUGCUCAGAGUAGAGCUUCAGCAACACUUCCUGUCUGGAAAUGAUGCUUCUUUUUCUUUGCUCCAGAUCUUGAUGAAGCUACAGAUCUUCUCUGUUCAGCUGUUUUAAUGUGCAUGUUGCUUUCUAACACUGAUCUUCUUCAUAUUCUGCUUUAUGUUCAUUACUUUUCAAAUGAAACUGAAUUUUAUGAC